Molecule: ribosomal RNA, 469 nt
Filed under: uncultured bacterium
Lineage: Bacteria
Description: partial 16S ribosomal RNA
Rfam family: Bacterial small subunit ribosomal RNA
Source: RNAcentral
GACGAACGCUGGCGGCGUGCUUAACACAUGCAAGUCGAACGGAAAGGCCCUGCUUGCAGGGUGCUCGAGUGGCGAACGGGUGAGUAACACGUGGGUGAUCUGCCCCUUACUUUGGGAUAAGCCUGGGAAACUGGGUCUAAUACUGGAUAGGACCAUGCUGUAGGUGGUGUGGUGGAAAGAUUAGUUUCGGUAAGGGAUGAGCUCGCGGCCUAUCAGCUUGUUGGUGGGGUAAUGGCCUACCAAGGCGUCGACGGGUAGCCGGCCUGAGAGGGUGGACGGCCACAUUGGGACUGAGAGACAGCCCAGACUCCUACGGGAGGCAGCAGUGGGGAAUAUUGCACAAUGGGCGCAAGCCUGAUGCAGCGACGCCGCGUGGGGGAUGACGGCCUUCGGGUUGUAAACUCCUUUCAGCCAUGACGAAGCCCUUGUGGUGACGGUAGUGGUAGAAGAAGCACCGGCUAACUACGUG